Molecule: ribosomal RNA, 446 nt
Filed under: uncultured bacterium
Lineage: Bacteria
Description: bacterial SSU rRNA
Rfam family: Bacterial small subunit ribosomal RNA
Source: RNAcentral
GUAUGGAGCAAGCGUUAUCCGGAUUUACUGGGUGUAAAGGGAGCGUAGGCGGUCCUGCAAGUCUGAUGUGAAAGGCCGGGGCUCAACCCCGGGACUGCAUUGGAAACUGUAGGACUAGAGUGUCGGAGGGGUAAGUGGAAUUCCUAGUGUAGCGGUGAAAUGCGUAGAUAUUAGGAGGAACACCAGUGGCGAAGGCGGCUUACUGGACGACUACUGACGCUGAGGCUCGAAAGCGUGGGGAGCAAACAGGAUUAGAUACCCUGGUAGUCCCAGCCGUAAACGAUGGGCGCUAGGUGUGGGGGGAUGAGAUCCCCCGUGCCGCANCCAACGCAUUAAGCGCCCCGCCUGGGGAGUACGGCCGCAAGGCUAAAACUCAAAGGAAUUGACGGGAACUCAGCAGCCGCGGUAAUACGGAGGAUCCGAGCGUUAUCCGGAUUUAUUGGGUU